UACGUAGGGCGCAAGCGUUGUCCGGAAUUAUUGGGCGUAAAGAGCUCGUAGGCGGCCUGUUGCGUCCGCUGUGAAAUCCCCGGGGCUCAACCCCGGGCGUGCAGUGGAUACGGGCUGGCUGGAGGCAGGCAGGGGAGAACGGAAUUCCUGGUGUAGCGGUGAAAUGCGCAGAUAUCAGGAGGAACACCGGUGGCGAAGGCGGUUCUCUGAGCCUGUACUGACGCUGAGGAGCGAAAGCGUGGGGAGCGAACAGG
Molecule: ribosomal RNA, 254 nt
Filed under: uncultured bacterium
Lineage: Bacteria
Description: partial 16S ribosomal RNA
Rfam family: Bacterial small subunit ribosomal RNA
Source: RNAcentral